Molecule: ribosomal RNA, 443 nt
Filed under: uncultured bacterium
Lineage: Bacteria
Description: partial 16S ribosomal RNA
Rfam family: Bacterial small subunit ribosomal RNA
Source: RNAcentral
CCUACGGGAGGCAGCAGUGGGGAAUAUUGGGCAAUGGGCGCAAGCCUGACCCAGCAACGCCGCGUGAAGGAAGAAGGCUCUCGGGUUGUAAACUUCUUUUAUCAGGGACGAAGCAAGUGACGGUACCUGAUGAAUAAGCCACGGCUAACUACGUGCCAGCAGCCGCGGUAAUACGUAGGUGGCAAGCGUUAUCCGGAUUUACUGGGUUUAAAGUGUGUGUAGGCGGGAAAGCAAGUCAGAUGUGAAAACCAUGGGCUCAACCUGUGGCCUGCAUUUGAAACUGUUUUUCUUGAGUACUGGAGAGGCAGACGGAAUGCGUAGUGUAGCGGUGAAAUGCGUAGAUAUUAGGAGGAACACCAGUGGCGAAGGCGGUCUGCUGGACAGCAACUGACGCUGAGGCGCGAAAGCGUGGGGAGCAAACAGGAUUAGAUACCCUUGUAGUC